UUGAGGACUUGACUUUGGCGG
RNAcentral lists this unclassified non-coding RNA (21 nucleotides) under Chlamydomonas reinhardtii. RNAcentral's name for it is "small RNA Cre_3905". The record is from RNAcentral. Lineage: Eukaryota; Viridiplantae; Chlorophyta; Chlorophyceae; Chlamydomonadales; Chlamydomonadaceae.